Molecule: ribosomal RNA, 826 nt
Filed under: Heveicola xishuangbannaensis
Lineage: Eukaryota; Fungi; Ascomycota; Dothideomycetes; Tubeufiales; Wiesneriomycetaceae
Description: Wiesneriomycetaceae sp. RFX-2021a partial large subunit ribosomal RNA
Rfam family: Eukaryotic large subunit ribosomal RNA
Source: RNAcentral
ACCAACAGGGAUUGCCUCAGUAACGGCGAGUGAAGCGGCAAUAGCUCAAAUUUGAAAUCUGGCUCUUUCAGGGUCCGAGUUGUAAUUUGUAGAGGAUGCUUCGGCUUCGGCCCCGGUCUAAGUUCUUGGAACAGGACAUCACAGAGGGUGAGAAUCCCGUAUGUGGUCGGCGGCCCCCGCCAUGUGAAGCUCCUUCGACGAGUCGAGUUGUUUGGGAAUGCAGCUCUAAAUGGGAGGUAAAUUUCUUCUAAAGCUAAAUACUGGCCAGAGACCGAUAGCGCACAAGUAGAGUGAUCGAAAGAUGAAAAGCACUUUGGAAAGAGAGUUAAAAAGUACGUGAAAUUGUUGAAAGGGAAGCGCUUGCAACCAGACUUGCCCGCGGUUGCUCAGCCGGUCUCUUGACCGGUGCACUCUUCCGCGGUCAGGCCAGCAUCAGUUCGGGCGGUCGGAUAAAGGCCUUGGGAAUGUAGCUCUCCUCGGAGAGUGUUAUAGCCCUCGGUGCAAUGCGGCCAGCCUGGACUGAGGUCCGCGCUUCGGCUAGGAUGCUGGCGUAAUGGUUGUAAGCGGCCCGUCUUGAAACACGGACCAAGGAGUCUAACAUCUAUGCGAGUGUUUGGGUGUCAAACCCGUACGCGUAAUGAAAGUGAACGGAGGUGGGAACCUUAGGGUGCACCAUCGACCGAUCCUGAUGUCUUCGGAUGGAUUUGAGUAUGAGCAUAGCUGUUGGGACCCGAAAGAUGGUGAACUAUGCCUGAAUAGGGUGAAGCCAGAGGAAACUCUGGUGGAGGCUCGCAGCGGUUCUGACGUGCAAAUCGAUCGUCAAAUU